UGGGGGUCAGGAGUUUGAGUUUUUACGUGAGCAAAGGAUUUAUUUUUCCUAGAUGUCGUGGAGGUGUUUGAGUGGAGUUAGAAUUCUGAAGAGAAUAGGGUGAGUGUGGACGGUUUGGAGUGUUUGAAGGGUGUGGGGAUGUGUGGGAGCGAAUUUAGGGAUAAGAGGGAAAAAUUUUGGGGAUUUUGGGGGAAGAAUAUCCAAAAUUU
RNAcentral lists this long non-coding RNA (209 nucleotides) under Gossypium raimondii (Peruvian cotton). Its description in RNAcentral is "long non-coding RNA (GRAI_LNC005654)". The record is from RNAcentral. Lineage: Eukaryota; Viridiplantae; Streptophyta; Magnoliopsida; Malvales; Malvaceae.